AAUCCUGGCUCAGGACGAACGCUGGCGGCGCGCCUAACACAUGCAAGUCGAACGAGAGAUGAGGAGCUUGCUCUUCAAAUCGAGUGGCGAACGGGUGAGUAACGCGUGAGGAACCUGCCUCAAAGAGGGGGACAACAGUUGGAAACGACUGCUAAUACCGCAUAAGCCCACGGCUCGGCAUCGAGCAGGGGGAAAAGGAGCAAUCCGCUUUGAGAUGGCCUCGCGUCCGAUUAGCUAGUUGG
RNAcentral lists this ribosomal RNA (242 nucleotides) under uncultured bacterium. RNAcentral's name for it is "partial 16S ribosomal RNA". It matches the Rfam family "Bacterial small subunit ribosomal RNA", at positions 15 to 252 of the family's 1533-position model. The record is from RNAcentral.